AGAGUUUGAUCAUGGCUCAGGACGAACGCUGGCGGCGUGCUUAACACAUGCAAGUCGAGCGGUAAGGCCCCUUCGGGGGUACACGAGCGGCGAACGGGUGAGUAACACGUGAGCAAUCUGCCCUUCACAUCGGAAUAACCUCGGGAAACCGAAGCUAAUACCGGAUACGACCAUCGAAGGCAUCUUCUGGUGGUGGAAAGUUCCGGCGGUGAGGGAUGAGCUCGCGGCCUAUCAGCUUGUUGGUGGGGUAACGGCCUACCAAGGCGACGACGGGUAGCCGGCCUGAGAGGGUGAUCGGCCACACUGGGACUGAGACACGGCCCAGACUCCUACGGGAGGCAGCAGUGGGGAAUAUUGGACAAUGGGCGAAAGCCUGAUCCAGCAACGCCGCGUGAGGGAUGACGGCCUUCGGGUUGUAAACCUCUUUCAGCAGGGACGAAGCGAAAGUGACGGUACCUGCAGAAGAAGCACCGGCCAACUACGUGCCAGCAGCCGCGGUAAUACGUAGGGUGCAAGCGUUGUCCGGAAUUAUUGGGCGUAAAGGGCUCGUAGGCGGUCCAUCGCGUCGGGAGUGAAAAGCUGGGGCUUAACCCCAGUCCUGCUUCCGAUACGGGUGGACUAGAGGUAGGUAGGGGAGAACGGAAUUCCUGGUGUAGCGGUGAAAUGCGCAGAUAUCAGGAGGAACACCGGUGGCGAAGGCGGUUCUCUGGGCCUUACCUGACGCUGAGGAGCGAAAGCAUGGGGAGCAAACAGGAUUAGAUACCCUAGUAGUCC
RNAcentral lists this ribosomal RNA (774 nucleotides) under uncultured bacterium. Its description in RNAcentral is "bacterial SSU rRNA". It matches the Rfam family "Bacterial small subunit ribosomal RNA", at positions 8 to 796 of the family's 1533-position model. The record is from RNAcentral.